This 46-nucleotide non-coding RNA is filed under the name Schistosoma mattheei. Lineage: Eukaryota; Metazoa; Platyhelminthes; Trematoda; Strigeidida; Schistosomatidae. The record is from RNAcentral.
GCACUGCUGAGGAGUCCCACAACAGGACGAAACGGCCGUUCAAUGU